This 5037-nucleotide long non-coding RNA is filed under the name Homo sapiens (human). RNAcentral's name for it is "HSALNT0309862". Lineage: Eukaryota; Metazoa; Chordata; Mammalia; Primates; Hominidae. The record is from RNAcentral.
CUCGGGCGAGCAGGGCCCUUCGCUCCGGGAGGGGAGGUGACGCGGCGCGGGCUGGACGGCCGGAGACGCGGGGUCAGGGCGCGGACGAGGGGAGCGCAGGGUCGGAGGGGCUCCCGGACGCUGCCCGCCCAGCGUCGGCUCUCGUUGGCCCCUGGCUGCGCGCAGCGGGCCCGACUCUCAGGGCCCUGCGGUGCCCGCUGCCAGCGUGAGGGCUCCGGUCACGCGGCGCGCGAGACGAACGAGCGAGAUGCUUCCCGAAGCGCGGGGCCCAGUGCAGGGGCUCAGCCGGGGCUCCUCCCAAAGCUCACCUGGAGCCCAGCACGACUGCGUUCUGGAAACGCUGUGUUUGACAGCAGGGGCAGGAUGGGGGGCUGUGUAGACGCUGGCCACGUGGCAAUUGUAGGAGAACCAUGGGAUCGAUAAAUGUUCACUGUUGUCCCUGAAGCGCAAAACUGCAGGGCUCUGGAAAGUCCGUGUGUGUGUUUUUGUUGUUUUUGUUUGUUUGAGACAGAGUCUCGCUCUGUCACCCAGGCUGGAGUGCGGUGGCGCGAUCUCUGCUCACUGCAACCUCCGCCUCCCGGGUUCAAGCGAUUCUCCUGCCUCAGCCUCCCGAGUAGCUGGGACUGCAGGCGGCCGCCACGACGCCCGGCUAAUUUUUUGUAUUUUUAGUAGAGACGGGGUUUCACCGUGUUAGCCAGGAUGGUCUUGAUCUGACCUCGUGAUCUGCCCGCCUCGGCCUCCCAGAGUGCUGGGAUUACAGGCGUGAGCCACCGCGCCUGGCCGAAAAGUCCGUUUUAAAAGAUGAUGUAUACAAAUUAUAGCACGGAGAGGGAACGGGCAAGUUGUUUCCUCUUUCCAUGCCUCCAACUCCUCUGAAAUGUGGGUCAUGAUGAUAAUAGGAAAAACUGUCUCUGCCAUAGAGAGGUGGAAAAAGUCCCGCGAAGUGUCCCCGGUAUCUAGAAAGCGCUCAGUAGUGUUUGCUGUUAUCUUAGGGAUAUCAGGCUGCCUGGACAUUUCUCAGAGGAUGAAGGGGAUUGUAGUAAGGAAGACCACCUUCCAGAGGAUGAAGGGGAUUGUAGGAAGGAAGACCACCUUCCCGGGGCUGGGCAAGGCUGCGGUACUGUCUCUCAUCAGGUCCAGGAGGACUCAGCAGGCUGAUGCAGAGGGACACAGCGCAUCCGCCUUGGUGGAUGCAUGGCUUUCCUGGCUCCCCUGGGACGGGGGAGGAGGGUGAAGAUGGAGGGAAUCUGGCUGGCUGGGCCUUGUGUACUGGGGGGUGGAGGGCCCAUUUGACUGCAGGAAUUGCUCAAGCACAUAAGCACCUUGAAGUGUGUUACUAAGAUACAAGAAACAGGUUUGCUUUUGCCUAUUCCAGCAUGGUGUACCUCUCUUAGGAUACCUUUUAGCACAGGUAGCAGAAUACCAGCCAGCCUCCUGUGGCUCACAGCAUUAAGAUAUUUAAUCAUCUGACAUUACAUGAAGUCCAGUGUUAGGCAGGCAGGAGCUGCUCCCGUGACUCAGUGACAUCAGGUUGGUCCACAUCCUAGCAGUUCUCUUGGUGUUCCUGCGUGAUCAAAGGAUGACUGCCACACCCCAGCCUGCUGACCUCAGCCCUGGCGUGGGCAUAGGAGGGUCUGCGUGGCUGAGCAUCCAGUGUCCUUCGUACUGCCACUGACAGCCUCAGGCCUGAUUUCCAGCACUGUCUGUCCAGGAGCAAUGGGAGCAAGAGUCACUCCACGAGACUCUGGAGGCCUGAUAGACAAAAUACAUGAAGACCAGUUUCUACACAGAGAAUCACUAAAAGAUGGCCAGGCGCGGUGGCUCACGCCUGUAAUCCCAGCACUUUGGGAGACCGAGGCGGGCGGAUCACAAGGUCAGCAGAUCGAGACCAUCCUGGCUAACAUGGUGAAACCCCAUCUCUACUAAAAAUACAAAAAAUUAGCCCGGCGUGGUGGCGGGCGCCUGUAGUCCCAGCUUUUCGGGAGGCUGAGGCAGGAGAAUGGCAUGAACCUGGGAGGCAGAGCUUGCAGUGAGCCAAGAUCACACCACUGCACUCCAGCCUGGGCGACAGAGCGAGACUCCAUCUCAAAAAAAAAAGAAUCAGUAAAAGAUAUAAAGGAGAAAAGGACAGAACCACAAAUAGGCAACAAAUAUGUUAAAAAAAAGUUUAGCUUCACUUAAAAUGAAAUAAAUGUGAUUAAAAUAUUUAAGGUUGGCUUUUUCCCCCCUCUAAUGAGUUAGCGAAGGUUAAACAUUUAAAAAGCCUGAUGAAAUCUAGGGUUGGCAGAAGUAUGGAAAGCAACCAGUGGCCAUGCUGGUUGGUAUAACCUUCCCUUUGGGCAAUUCAUUUAUAAGUAUCAGCACUUAAAAUGUGCAAUACUCGGCCAGGCAUGGUGGCUCACACUGUAAUUCUAGCACUUUGGGAGGCCGAGGCGAGUGGAUGAUGAGGUCAGGAGUUCGAGACCAGCCUGGCCAACAUAGUGAAAACCGGUCUCUACUAAAAAUACAAAAAAAAUUGGUAGGGCUUGGUGGCGGGCGCCUGUAGUCCCAGCUACUUGGGAGGCUGAGGCAGGAGAAUCGCUUGAACCCAGGAGGAGGAGAUUGCAGUGAGCCGAGAUUGCGCCACCGCACUCCAGCCUUGCGACAGAGCAAGACUCCGUCUCAAAAAAAAAGGACUGGUAAGACAAUGUGGUAUUCUUGCUCCUCCUCCCACUGUUAGUUGUGGGUAUAAUGUUUCUCCCAUUCAACCUGGGUCGGCCCCAGUGACUUGCUUGACCAAUAGAAUGUAGUGAGGUGAUGUCUUAGGGCUACCAAAGUGAGGUCACAAGAGCCGGUGGCUUCCACCCCAGCCUCCUGGGACUCUGUGAGACCCGCUGCUACUGAGACUGCUGUGCUGGAGAGGCCACAUGUGGGUGUUCUGGCCCACGGUGCCAGCUGACAUCAGCCUUCCAGCCACCCCAGUGAUCUCUUUUCUGUCACACUGGACAGGACAGUCACCUGGUGGAGCUGCUGAAAUUCCUGGCACGCUGUCACAUAUAACAAAAUAGUUCUUGGCGGCACGGUGGCUCACGCCUGUAAUCCCAGCACUUUGGGAGGCCAAGGUGGGUGGAUCACAAGGUCAGGAGUUCAAGACCAGCUUGGCCAAUUUGGUGAAAGCCCAUCUCUACUAAAAAUACAAAAAUUAGCUAGGCAUGAUGGCACGCGCCUGUAGUCCCACCUACUCAGGAGGCUGAGGCAGCAGAAUUGCUUGAACCCAGGAGGUGGAGGUUGCAGUGAGCUGAGAUCGCGCCACCACACUCCAGCCUGGGUGACAGAGCAAGAUUCCGUCUAAAAAAAAAUGGUUCUUUUAAACCACUAAGUUUUCAGGGGUCUGUAAGGCGGUGAUACAUAAUGGGAACAGAUACUUGCAGUUCUAUGUAUAGCCAUGUUCAUUACAGCAUGAUUUAUGAUACUGAAAUAUUGGGAACAUCUGUAAAGAGUUUGUUAAAGUCUGAUACACCACUACAAUGAAAUAGAUCUAGUCAGUGGGACAAAGCAGGGUGAGUAAAGCAGGGCCAGAUGCUCACAAGGAGUAUUCAGCUAAAAAUGUAAGACAGGCUGGGUGCGGCAGCUUAUACCUAUAGUCCCAGCAUUUGCGGAGGCCAAGGCAAGAAGAUUGCUUGAGCCCAGGAGGUCAAGCUGCAGUGAACUGUGAUCACACCACUGUCCUCCAGCCUGGGCGACAAUGUGAGAUCCUGUCUCAAAAAACAAAACAGGCUGGGCUCGGUGUCUCAUGCCUGUAAUCCCACCACUUUGGAAGGCCGAGGCGGGCAGAUCACGAGGUGAGGAGUUCGAGACCAGCCUGGCCAACAUAGUGAAACCCCGUGUCUACUAAAAAUACAAAAAAUUAGCCGGGUGUGGUGGUGGGUGCCUGUAAUCCUAGCUACUCGGGAGGCCAAGGCCGGAGAAUCGCUUGAACCUGGGAGGUGGAGGUUGCAACAAGCCGGGAUCUCGCCACUGCACUCCAGCCGGGGUGACAGUGCAAGACUCCAUCUCAAAAACAAAAACAAAAACAAAAACCCCCCAAAACAAAAAACAAAACAGAAUGAAAAGUAGUAGAAAAAUGGUGAGUCAGUAAAAGAACAACCCCAUGAAAAAAUGGGCAAAAGUGCUGGGUGCGGUGGCUCAUGUCUGUAAUCCCAGCACUUGGGGAGGCUGAGGCUGGAGGAGUGCUUGAACCCAGGAGUUGGAGACCAGCCUGGGCAACAUAGAUACCCCAACUCUACAGAAAAAAAAUUAAAAAUUAGCCAGGUGUCAUGGUGUGUGCUUGUAGUCCCAGAUAUUGAGGGCUGAGGCAACAGGUCCUUUGAACCCAGGAGGUCGAGGCUGCAUGAGCCAUGAUUGUGCCACUGCACUUCAGCCUGGGUGACAGAGCAAGACCCUGACUCUAAAAAUAAUAAUAACCAAGGCUGGGUGUGGUGGCUUAUGCCUCUCAUCCCAGCACUUUGGGAGGCCGAGGCGGGCAGAUCACAAGGUCAAGAGAUAGAGACCAUCCUGGCCAAUGUGGCGAAACCUUGUCUCUACUAAAAAUACAAAAAUUAGCUGGGCAUGGUGGCAGGCACCUGUAAUCCCAGCUGCUUGGGAGGAAGAGGCAGGAGAAUCGCUUUAACCCAGGAGGCGGAGGUUGCAGUGAGCCGAGAUUGCGCCACGGCACUCCAGCUUGGGUGACAGAGAGACAGACUCCGUUUCAAAAUAAUAAUAAUAAUAUAAUAAUCAAAAAUUGGAAGUAACCAAGAUGCUCUUUAAUAAGUACAUGGGUGGCCAGGGGCUGUGGCUCAUGCCUGUAAUCCUAGCACUUUGGGAGGCCGGGGCAGGCGGAACACAAGGCCAGGAGAUCAAGACCAUCCUGGCUAACACGGUGAAACCCCAUGUGUACUAAAAAUACAAAGAAUUAGACAGGCGUGGUGUCGGGCGCCUGUAGUCCCAGCUACUCGGGAGGCUGAGGCAGGAGAAUGGCAUGAACCCGGGAGGCGGAGCUUGCAGUGAGCCGAGAUCCUG